GCCUACGGGAGGCAGCAGUAGGGAAUCUUCCACAAUGGACGAAAGUCUGAUGGAGCAACGCCGCGUGAGUGAAGAAGGGUUUCGGCUCGUAAAGCUCUGUUGGUAGUGAAGAAAGAUAGAGGUAGUAACUGGCCUUUAUUUGACGGUAAUUACUUAGAAAGUCACGGCUAACUACGUGCCACCAGCCGCGGUAAUACGUAGGUGGCAAGCGUUAUCCGGAAUUAUUGGGCGUAAAGAGUACGUAGG
Molecule: ribosomal RNA, 246 nt
Filed under: uncultured bacterium
Lineage: Bacteria
Description: partial 16S ribosomal RNA
Rfam family: Bacterial small subunit ribosomal RNA
Source: RNAcentral